Molecule: ribosomal RNA, 476 nt
Filed under: uncultured bacterium
Lineage: Bacteria
Description: partial 16S ribosomal RNA
Rfam family: Bacterial small subunit ribosomal RNA
Source: RNAcentral
AGAGUUUGAUCCUGGCUCAGGAUGAACGCUGGCGGCGUGCCUAACACAUGCAAGUCGAACGAACCUAAUCUUCGGAAAGGGUUAGUGGCGCACGGGUGAGUAACACGUAGGUGACCUGCCCUGGAUUGGGGGAUAACUUCUCGAAAGAGAGGCUAAUACCGCAUAUGCUCGGCCAUUCAGUUGGUCGAGUAAAGCUCCGGCGCUCCAGGAGGGGCCCGCGUCCGAUUAGCUAGUUGGUGGGGUAAUGGCUCACCAAGGCUAUGAUCGGUAGCUGGUCUGAGAGGACGAUCAGCCACACGGGAACUGAGAAACCGGUCCCGACUCCUACGGGGGGCAGCAGUGAGGAAUAUUGGGCAAUGGGCGAAAGCCUGACCCAGCAACGCCGCGUGGAGGAUGAAGGCCUUCGGGUCGUAAACUCCUUUUACAGGGGAAGAGUGAGGACGGUACCCUGAGAAUAAGUCACGGCUAACUACGUG